GACGAACGCUGGCGGCGUGCUUAACACAUGCAAGUCGUACGGUAAGGCCCUUUCGGGGGUACACGAGUGGCGAACGGGUGAGUAACACGUGAGUAACCUGCCCACAACUUUGGGAUAACGCUAGGAAACUGGUGCUAAUACUGGAUAUGUGCCCCUGCUGCAUGGUGGGGGUUGGAAAGCUCCGGCGGUUGUGGAUGGACUCGCGGCCUAUCAGCUUGUUGGUGGGGGAGUGGCCUACCAAGGCGGCGACGGGUAGCCGGCCUGAGAGGGUGACCGGCCACAUGGGGACUGAGAUACGGCCCAGACUCCUACGGGAGGCAGCAGUGGGGAAUAUUGCACAAUGGGCGGAAGCCUGAUGCAGCAACGCCGCGUGCGGGAUGACGGCCUUCGGGUUGUAAACCGCUUUCGCCGGGGACGAAGCUUUUGUGACGGGAACCGGUAAAAAAGGACCGGCUAAAUACGUG
RNAcentral lists this ribosomal RNA (464 nucleotides) under uncultured bacterium. Its description in RNAcentral is "partial 16S ribosomal RNA". It matches the Rfam family "Bacterial small subunit ribosomal RNA", at positions 28 to 507 of the family's 1533-position model. The record is from RNAcentral.